CAGGAAGAGUGUUCUUGGUCACAAUACUAUCUUGAAUCUGCCUAGACGUUUCUCCACAUUGACUUCCAUCUUUACUUUCAACAAAUCUCUCUAACAUACAACAUCUGUAAAAAAUGGGAAAUAUAUCACUAAAGGGCCAACCAUAUCCCCUUUCCAUAUUCCAAAUCUUUGAACAGCAUGAAUGACCAAGAAACAAAUGUCUCCAAUUAAAUAAGUGGAAAUGCGAUGUCAUCCUUACCUACACAAUCCAGGUUCCUGAUGGUUUCCUGCAUCACAUCUUUGUAGAGAUUCUUCUGACAAGGACCCAGCAAAGCCCACUCUUCUCGGGUGAAGUUCACAGCCACAUCCUCUAAAGCCACUGAGGCCUGAUCCAUCCCACAUGUACAGAGGAGGAAGGGUGAAAAUCACAGUACUGAGAAUCUAUACUCACUUCAUAAAUUUCACAUGAU
Long non-coding RNA from Pongo pygmaeus (Bornean orangutan), 449 nucleotides. RefSeq lists it as uncharacterized. The record is from RefSeq and is a predicted model, not a curated record. The transcript is spliced from 2 exons. Lineage: Eukaryota; Metazoa; Chordata; Mammalia; Primates; Hominidae.